RNAcentral lists this ribosomal RNA (777 nucleotides) under uncultured Planctomycetota bacterium. RNAcentral describes it as "bacterial SSU rRNA". It matches the Rfam family "Bacterial small subunit ribosomal RNA", at positions 58 to 836 of the family's 1533-position model. The record is from RNAcentral. Lineage: Bacteria; Pseudomonadati; Planctomycetota.
CAAGUCGAACAAAGACACCCCGGGUAGCAAUACUUGGGGUGGACUGAGUGGCGAAAGGGGCAGUAAUGCGUGGGUAACCUACCCUGGGGAUGGGCAUAGCCGGCCUAACGGCCGGGUAAUUCCCAGCGAUGUUGCGAGGGGACAUCCUCUUGCAACCAAAUGAAUUUCGCCCUGGGAGGGGCUCACGUCGCAUUAGCUAGUUGGUGGGGUAACGGCCUACCAAGGCAAAGAUGCGUAGCGGGUGUGAGAGCACGACCCGCGCCACUGGCACUGAGACACUGGCCAGACACCUACGGGUGGCUGCAGUCGAGGAUCUUUGGCAAUGGGCGCAAGCCUGACCAAGCGACGCCGCGUGUGCGAUGAAGGCCUUCGGGUUGUAAAGCACUGUCGAGGGGGAUCAAAGCGCAAGCUUGAGAGAUCCCUGGAGGAAGCACGGGCUAAGUUCGUGCCAGCAGCCGCGGUAAGACGAACCGUGCGAACGUUGUUCGGAAUCACUGGGCUUAAAGGGCGCGUAGGCGGUCGGGCAAGUCCGGGGUGAAAUCCUGCAGCUCAACUGUAGAAGUGCCUUGGAUACUGCCCGGCUCGAGGGAGGUAGGGGUCUGUGGAACUUCUGGUGGAGCGGUGAAAUGCGUUGAUAUCAGAAGGAACGCCGGUGGCGAAAGCGACAGACUGGACCUCUUCUAACGCUGAGGCGCGAAAGCUAGGGGAGCAAACGGGAUUAGAUACCCCGGUAGUCCUAGCCCUAAACGAUGAACACUAGAUUGUAAGACUAGUCAU